This 253-nucleotide ribosomal RNA is filed under the name uncultured bacterium. RNAcentral describes it as "partial 16S ribosomal RNA". It matches the Rfam family "Bacterial small subunit ribosomal RNA", at positions 524 to 776 of the family's 1533-position model. The record is from RNAcentral.
GACAGAGGGUGCAAGCGUUGUUCGGAAUCAUUGGGCGUAAAGGGCGCGUAGGCGGUUUUGUAAGUCGGAUGUGAAAGCCCAGGGCUCAACCUUGGAAGUGCAUCCGAAACUGCAUAACUUGAGUCUCGGAGAGGGUGGUAGAAUUCCCAGUGUAGAGGUGAAAUUCGUAGAUAUUGGGAGGAAUACCGGUGGCGAAGGCGACCACCUGGACGAAGACUGACGCUGAGGCGCGAGAGCGUGGGGAGCAAACAGG